Molecule: transfer RNA, 100 nt
Filed under: Candidatus Bathyarchaeota archaeon
Lineage: Archaea; Thermoproteati; Candidatus Bathyarchaeota
Also listed under: 1 other name
Description: tRNA-Met
Rfam family: tRNA
About the family: Transfer RNA (tRNA) molecules are approximately 80 nucleotides in length. Their secondary structure includes four short double-helical elements and three loops (D, anti-codon, and T loops). Further hydrogen bonds mediate the characteristic L-shaped molecular structure. tRNAs have two regions of fundamental functional importance: the anti-codon, which is responsible for specific mRNA codon recognition, and the 3' end, to which the tRNAs corresponding amino acid is attached (by aminoacyl-tRNA synthetases). tRNAs cope with the degeneracy of the genetic code in two manners: having more than one tRNA (with a specific anti-codon) for a particular amino acid; and 'wobble' base-pairing, i.e. permitting non-standard base-pairing at the 3rd anti-codon position.
Source: RNAcentral
GGGCCCGUACCAAUAUGUGGGAUGCUCAGCCAGGUCAGAUAUUGACUAGAGCGCCCGGCUCAUAACCGGGUGGUCAGGGGUUCAAAUCCCCUCGGGCCCA